CCUACGGGAGGCUGCAGUGGGGGAUAUUGCACAAUGGGGGGAACCCUGAUGCAGCGACGCCGCGUGGGUGAAGAAGCGCCUCGGCGCGUAAAGCCCUGUCAGCAGGGAAGAAAAUGACGGUACCUGAAGAAGAAGCCCCGGCUAACUACGUGCCAGCAGCCGCGGUAAUACGUAGGGGGCAAGCGUUAUCCGGAUUUACUGGGUGGAAAGGGGGCGCAGACGGCGAUGCAAGCCAGGAGUGAAAGCCCGGGGACCAACCCCGGGAGUGCACUGGAAACCGCGGGGCUGGAGGGCAGGAGGGGCAGGCGGAAUUCCGGGUGUAGCGGUGAAAUGAGUAGAUAUCAGGAGGAACACCGGUGGCGAAGGCGGCCUGCUGGACUGCAACUGACGUUGAGGCCCGAAAGCGUGGGGAGCAAACAGGAUUAGAUACCCUGGUAGUC
This 440-nucleotide ribosomal RNA is filed under the name uncultured bacterium. RNAcentral describes it as "partial 16S ribosomal RNA". It matches the Rfam family "Bacterial small subunit ribosomal RNA", at positions 338 to 795 of the family's 1533-position model. The record is from RNAcentral.